GUAACAAAUUUUACACAUUCUUUUUUUGUCCUCAUUGAUUUAUUAUCUGAUAUAAGGGACAUAUAAGGAGACAGAUAUCCAUCUUUAAAAUUGCCUCAAAAGUUUUUUUUUUUUUUAACCACAGAUAAUGAAACAACCACCAUCGGUUAAAUUUGAUGCAAAAAUAUUGCAUCUACCAGCAUUUUCAGGUAGGAUCAUAAAGGAGUUAUCGAACAUGUAGACUGUCUGUAUACAGAUACGAAUAUGAAAUUUAUUCACAAAUGAAUAUUUGUAUGUGAAUAACUAAAUUUAUUUUGUCUUGACAAUUGGUUAUAUUCUUGGGUCAGUGUUAUGUGAAUUGUAAAUAAUCUGUAAUUCAUUUGUGCCAGCUGUUGACAUUUCUCAGCUGAGUCUGGGCUGCCCUGUCCUCUUGUGUGUGGGGAGGUUCCUGUAGAUCUGGGCAAGUUUUCCUGUAGAGUGGGUGGGGGGCCUCCUCCCUUCCGUUCAUAGAGCUGGUUGAAUUUCCACCAUUUAUGGCAGGUGUAGGUGCACAGGGUUGGGGACAACAAGGAAGGAUUGGGAUUCUAUUGGCGGGACCAGGACAUUUGAGAACGGGACUAGGUGGUUCAUGACUGUGGAGAUGGUGUGGGAGUGGAGAUACUUAAGGGAUAAUUAUUACAUUUCUGUUGAGCUAAUGAAAAUCUUAUUUAGGGUGAAAGUCAAAUUUUUACAUACCUUAAACUUUUUUAACAAAUUAUAUUUUAAGCUGUUAAACUCAAUUUGGGGAAAAUUAUUCAUUGUGGCUAGAUUAGAAUCUAUGAUUUGAAGUAAAUUUAAAAUAUAUUUAGGUUUAAAUAAGCCAGCUAAGGGUUUAUAUCAGUCAACUUAAUUACUGAUAAAAACAACCAAAAAAACCUGUGGAGAAGGACGUUUUUGAAAGACCAAAGUGAAGCAAAAUAUUAACAGUGCUUUCAGUGCCAAGUAGGUCUAUUUAUGCAAACCUAGAGAAUUAUUAUCGGGAAAUACUAUUUCCUUUUUCUUCUUUGAGUUACUUAGGAAAUUAUAUUUACAAUUUCUUUGUCUAAAGAUUGAGAUCAGCAAAAACAUGUUAGCAAAAAAUUUUAGGGAGUAUCACAUUUCCUAGAUUUUGCCCUUUUUUUUAUAGGGAUUUGGAGGUAGGAAUUUCAGGUGAUUUUAGCUAUCAUGUUAUCCUCGUUAUUUUUUUACAGUAAUUUCAUUGGAACUUUUUAAUAAACUGUGUGGUUUGUGCUUUUCUCAAUAUCUGAGAGUUGAUUUAUUUAUACAAAGGCUUUUUUGUCUUUUACUUCAGUUGUAUUGAACUUUGCAUUUUGUUAUAAUCUAGGUUGUGGGACAAUUCUGCUUUAGACAUCUGCUUGGUUUGAAAGCAUAGUUUUCCAUUGAAGUGUUUAAAAAGUUUCCAUGGAUAGAUAAAGAGAUGAGGAAUAUAGAAGGACAAAUAGAAGUAGUGUCAUCUUUGGAGUAUUUUUAGUGUUGACAGAGUAAUGUUUUCUUUGUCCUCAGCUGUCGUAACUCUGUGUUUAUUUCUCAUGUAAUGUUUCCAGCAGUUGUUUUUCUCAUCAUCAUACUUCUGUUAUUUUCUUUCCUUGACAAUGGAUAAGUUAUAAUUUCUGAAAGACCAAGAUUGGAAUGACUUUUUGUAACAAGUGUGCUCGCAGAUCGACUCCAGUGAGAAGAGCUCGGGGACCUCCUGAGCCAAGCUUAAUCUCCUUUGCUGUUUGUGCGUGGUGGCUGGUCACCAGGAGGUGGCCACCAGGCUCCUCCUUUCCCCGCUGGUAGGCCUCUGUGACAUGACUUAUGCAUUUAAAUUUAUGUUUUUAUAGAGGCUCAAACAAGUGCUGAAAUAGCAAUUUGAUUUAACUACCAUGAAAAAACUGAUUUAUCACGAUUUUAGGUUUAUGCAAAUUAUCCUCUGCUUAAUCCUUACGUCUUAAAGUAAAUAAGAGUAGACGGUGAUUUUGAACUUUUUGUUGUUGUUGUUGUUUGUAAUACUCAGGUUUCCAUUUUAUGUUAACUUGUAAGAUUUUUUAAAAAUAUGUGAAAUCAGGCCGGGCAUGAUAUCAUAAGACAGACCUUUUACCUUCUCAUCAGUGACUGGAAUGAACGCCUGUAAUCUCAGUACUUUGGGAGGCCGAGGCAGGUGGAUCACCUGAGGUCAGCAGUUUGAAACCAGCCUGACCAACAUGGCGAAACCCCAUCUCUACUAAAAAUACAAAAUUAGCAGGGUGUGGUGGCGCACUCCUGUACUCCUAGCUACUUGGGAGGCUGAGACAGGAUAAUCACUUGAACCCAGGAGCCAGAAGUCGCAGUGAGCCGUGAUCAUGCCAUUGCACCCCAGCCUGGGCAAAAAGAGCGAAACUCCAUCUCAAAAAAAAAAACAAAACAAAAAACAAAAAACAAAAUGUGAUAUCAUAAGACAGACCUUUUCCCUUCUCAUCAGUGACUGGAAGGAACUGCCCAUGUGGAACAGGUUGUGGGUGUUGAUUCCUUUACUGGGUCAUCUGGUAAACUGCAAGGUUUCUGCUGUGACAUUGAAGGCAGACAUCAACCCUCUAAGACAUUUCUUUCCUAUCCUCUGGGAAUAUUACUUUUUGGACUAUCCUGGUCCAUUGGUAAGCUCAUGGGAAUUUGUCAGAGUUUUUUUGUUUUCUGUUUCUUUUGGCUCAUGUUUAGCAUCGAUUGGCAGAGUGUUUGAAGUCAUCCUCAGAAAGGAAUUACAGUCGUUCGGAGGUAUUUUCUGUAGUGGGCCCUCAUUUGGGAGUUGGCUUGAAAAAAAUGUAAGUUCACUUGCUUCCAGGAUAGUAUUAAGAUUGCUUUUUUUGAUAGUUGGCGUGUGUCUAUCAGGUAAGGGCUGUCAUUUAGAGAAUAUAAAGUGGUAGGAGAAACUAAAAGUACUGUUCUUAGUUUUUAUUUUAAUCUUAUUCAUAUACAAGUGCCUUUGUAAUUUAGUAAAUAUCAUUUUUGGUGUACAGUAUAAAUUUCCUUUUUAUAAAGAUCUGAGCUGUUAACUUUGCUGUCACUUUCUGUGUUUCAUGACUUAAAUAUUUUAAUUUUUUCUUUUUUUACAUUUACAUUUUUUAUUCUAGUUCCAAUUGCUAAUCCAGCGUUUGUGGAUGGCUGCAAACUGUGAUAUGGCUGAAGCAGUGCCUACUCAAUAGAACCAGUCAUCGUGCAAAGAAAUGCCACCUGACUCAAAGGCAAAGCCCGAGUGCAGCUUGGAGCAAAGAAGUUUGUGUUGAAGGAGAAACUAACAAUGAAAAUGGACUUGUUGAUGGAAGAAAAGUAGGAAUGCAGCCUCUGGUGCUGUUUGAGUGAUCCCUCUGCCCAGGCCUGGCUGCGCGCUGCUGUGUUCUGGAAAGGCGCAUCGUACCCUGGUUGUGGCAGGUAAGAGUCAUAUACAGGUGCUCUGCCCACUUUACCUUUCAGGCUUCUGUAUCAGCUGUUUUUCCCUUGUAGAAUGUGCCCCUGACCUGUGCCCCUGACUUCCACCCCUUAACCCUACCCAAUACAUCUUUACAUGUCUGACCAUCAAGACUCUUCUGGGUCAUAUUCAGUUCAUGCUGAUAUUUUCCCUUCCUCCCCUCUUUAGUCCUUACUAUUUUUGCUUUGGUCAUGUUAUGCUAUAUUCUGUAAGCCUUUAAAAAUUUUGUUGUAUCAUGGCAGGGGAGAAUAUUUUAUAAUUAUGCUUUGUGCGUUUUAUCUUCCACUCAAUGAAUGCUUGGUAAAUAUUUGUUUUAUUGAGUAUAUGACCCUUUUCUAGCUAUACUGUGAACAAAAAUGUUAACUGCCUUGUAAGUUAACUGCUAAGAAUUUGUCAAAAGUGCAGAGAUGACAUCCAGAACUUGUCAUGAAUAUUACAAAAAGGUCUCUAAGGGGUUGAUGGAGGUCUGUAAAUUGACUUCAUGUGAAAGAGUGUAAGAAGUGAAAAUGUGAAGCAUGACUGGAGAGCCGAAGUGAUAAAGCAAGGGUCCCUUUCUCCAGAUCCUUUGUAACAGUGUCAUGUGACCUCUUCUAGAUCAUUCUGAAAGACAAUGCCAGCUCGGAACCUAGGAAAGCAUCCUGUGGGUUUCUGCAGGUUAGGUGGUUCAAAUCCUCAUUGACACCUUUGUUUUCUCUGCCUCAGUUUGCUUACAGUGAUGUUCUCAGUAGCUGUAAUUGCUGUCUGUCUUUGAAUAUUUAAGCAUUUUUUUUUUUAGAUCACAGGGUAUAUGUGCAUUUUUAUUUUACCAAGUGUUAGAAUUUUUACUCUGCCUUUGUGGGCUCUGGGUUAGCUACUUGGUUGUUUCAUCGUAAAAUGAUUAGCAGGAAAAACUGUGUGUGUGUGUGUUCGUGUGUGUGUGUGUAUUUUAAGUUUCUUAAUUGGGUUGGUACAUGUAAACCAUUUAGAACAGUGCCUGCUGCAUAUCACAUCCCCAUCAGUAUUCACGUCUCUCAUAUUCUACCCUCACACUUGAUUGAUAGUUUGCCUGAUUAUGUAUUUCUAGGUUGAGGAUAAUUUUACCUUAGAAUUUCAAAGUCUGUGCUGUUGUCUUCUAACCAGUCGUGGUGGUGAAGCCUCAUGCCAUCCUGAGUUUCACUUGUUUAUGCAUGACUUUCUCCCUGGAAGCUUUUAGGAGUUUGUCUUUUCCUUGGUGAGCUGAAAUAGCACAACAGUGUACUUAGUGUGGGUCUUUUUUCAUUCAUUAUGCUGGGUACACCAAAUGAACAGGCCUAUGGAUAGGCUCUUUCAAAGUUGGAGUCUUGAAUCUUGUCAUAUUUUUGUUGUUAACUUUCUCUUUUCCAUUUUAUUUGUUCAUUUGGAAGUGUCUGUUAAUUGGAUUUUAGACCUCUUGUCUUGAGUCUUGUAUCUCACGUUGUUUCUAAAUUUUUUUAAAAUUUUAAGUUCUGGAAUAUUUUUCUUAUCUUUCGACUUUCAGGAAAUUUUAUUUGGACUGUCAUAACUUUAAGUUUUGUUUUGGUUAUUUAUUGUUGCUUAACCAAUUAUCCCAAAACUUAAUGGUGUAAAACUACACAUCUGUCUAUCUGUCACUACUGUAUGGAUUACCUGGGGCUAGCUGGACAGUUUUCUUGCUGGUCUCAUUUGGCAGCUCUCACUGUGCGGUCAGACAGUGUCAGGGACUGGUCAUCUGGAUGCUCAGCUGCAGUGGAAUGUCUGGGAUGGCUUCUUCACCCACAGGUCUGCUGCCUUGGUGUUUCUUCAUGUGGCCUUUCUCUCUGCAUAGCAUCUCAUCCUCUUGGAUCUCUUCAUGUGGCUUUUCUUUCUCCAAGAGGGUAGUCAAUUCUUAUUUUUGGCUUCCAGAAGCACAGAAAUGGAGCUGCCAGGGGUUCUUAAGGCUUAGACCUGGAACAGGUCCAGUGUCAUUUCUACCACAUGCUAUAGUUAAAGUGAGUGUUGGGGCCAACCCAGAUUGACUAUGGGAUGGGCCUGUCUAAGGACAUGAUGACAGGAGGUAUGGCUCAUUGGAGACCAACUCCCAAGAUGAAGCAUGAGUUCUAAGAACUUUUUCUUCUCUGAUUAUUUCUUAUUCAUAUUCUGUUUUGUUUUAUACGUGUAAUAUAUUCACAAGUGUCUUUAUGAAGUGAUUUUGAUACUCUUUGUCUUCUCCCUGGCAUCUCUUUGUUCUUUAAUAAUUUUUUUCUUAGUUUAUUUUGGUCUUAUUUUUCUUUUUAAAGCCUUUCCUUAAAUAUCUAUUCUAUGUUG
This is a long non-coding RNA of Gorilla gorilla gorilla (western lowland gorilla), 5719 nucleotides long. RefSeq lists it as uncharacterized. The transcript is spliced from 3 exons. NCBI's taxonomy places the organism in Eukaryota, Metazoa, Chordata, Mammalia, Primates, Hominidae. The record is from RefSeq and is a predicted model, not a curated record.